GCCCCUGUAGCUCAGCGGUAGAGCGUGUGGCUGUUAACCACAAGGUCGCAGGUUCGAAUCCUGCCGGGGGCG
Molecule: transfer RNA, 72 nt
Filed under: archaeon
Lineage: Archaea
Also listed under: 4 other names
Description: tRNA-Asn
Rfam family: tRNA
About the family: Transfer RNA (tRNA) molecules are approximately 80 nucleotides in length. Their secondary structure includes four short double-helical elements and three loops (D, anti-codon, and T loops). Further hydrogen bonds mediate the characteristic L-shaped molecular structure. tRNAs have two regions of fundamental functional importance: the anti-codon, which is responsible for specific mRNA codon recognition, and the 3' end, to which the tRNAs corresponding amino acid is attached (by aminoacyl-tRNA synthetases). tRNAs cope with the degeneracy of the genetic code in two manners: having more than one tRNA (with a specific anti-codon) for a particular amino acid; and 'wobble' base-pairing, i.e. permitting non-standard base-pairing at the 3rd anti-codon position.
Source: RNAcentral